GAAAAGGACAGACAUUAGAAGUUAUUUCGCUACGUCGGCUGAUGCUCAGACAGCAGAGCAAGGGGCAGAGCAGAACGAUGGAGAGGUGGCUGGAGCUUCAGGGCUCCAGGUGAGGUGUUAGUUCUCAGAUAUGAAAUAUACUGUGAAAUUAUC
Molecule: long non-coding RNA, 153 nt
Organism: Poecilia latipinna (sailfin molly)
Lineage: Eukaryota; Metazoa; Chordata; Actinopteri; Cyprinodontiformes; Poeciliidae
Exons: 2
Source: RefSeq, a predicted model, not a curated record